ACACAGUGAAGGCAAGGCCACUCACGACGUAAACAGCACACUAAGCUCGAUCACCUGCACGUUACCCACGGUCGAGGUAACAUUCAAACAGAAGGGGUGAGAUUUCAUAACAGAAUAGCGUUAAUCAAUGCAAUUAAGAAUCAUAAAUUAACAUCCUAAUCAAUCUUGAUCAUAAUCAUUUUAAACAUAAUCGUCAUUGUAUCCUUAAUAAGCAUUUAUCACGUAAUCACAUAAUCAAUCAUCAUCAACAACAUAACAUUAUCACGUAAUCACAUAAUCAAUCAUCAUCAACAAAGCAUAAUAGACAUGACAAUGUGACAAUGCUCCUAGACUCCGUAUAUGCAUGUGGUACCAAUCGUCAUCAUAAGUAUAAAUAUACUUUAAUCGUGCGGAGGACAAAGCUCCUAAUAAUCGUGCGGAGGACAAAGCUCCUAAUAAAACGUGGUGAGGACUAAGCUCAAUGAUAUGCUAUGCAUGGACUCUUAACAACAAAACAUCGUAAUCAUGUGCAUUCAAUAACUUGAAGCGAAACGUCAUCAUUUUCAUUAUAUUCAUAAAUAAACAUUGCAUACUCAGUUAAAUAACAGCAGCAGCAUAGUCAAGUCACAUAUCAGCAGGGAGAUAUCAAUAUAUCAACAGCAAUUCAAUAGAAUCAUAAUCGUUUCAUUAUAUCUCACAUAUUGCAUAAUACAUUAAUCAUGCUCAAUUAAUAUCAACAUAUCUUAAUAGCUUCACAGACUGCAUUAAACGUUAUCAUAAGGUUUCUUUACCAAUUAGGGGUUCACUCCUGAUCAAAAGGUGCGACACAGAUCGCACAACCACUCAAACAGCUACAUUCUGGACUUGCUCGCGAGGCGAGAGUUCUCACUCGCCAUGGCGAGUACCACUCAAAUUCCCAACUAAUGUUGUUUUGGGUUCAAUCCUGUCCUAAAAUCAUUCCUAAUCAUCUCUAGGUAUGUUUAGGCACUUAAAGGCACUCAAGGUCCAACUAAAAAGUCGAAACUACAAAAUAUGACAUGCACUCUGCCUAAGCUCGCGAGGCGAGGAAGGGUUGCUCGCCAUGGCGAGUUGCACCAAACAACUCGCGAGGCGAAGGGAAAAGGCUCGCGUGGCGAGCGAUGAACUUCAUCACUCGCGAGGCGAGGAUCAUAGCUCGCCGUGGCGAGCGAUGAAUGUCGCUACGGCCAGGCUUCCUAAAAACACAAAAAUCCGUCGAUUCACAUGGUUCUAAGCUUGGUUUUGAUUCCAGAAUUCUUCCUAAACAUAUUCUAAGGUUAAAGGACGGUUCUUUCAUCAAUCUAAACAAGUUUUACCGUUUAUUCUCAAAUUUUAGGGUUUUGACCUAAUUUCAAAACUUCUCUAAAUCAAUCCUAACUUUGUCAACUAAUCAUCAGAAUUACAGAGAUUAAUGUUACUGAGUUAUUAGUCCCACCCUUACCUGGUUAUGAAGAAAUCGCAGCCCUCUUUGGUCUCUUGCUCCUCUCUAAGCUUUUUCUCCCUUUUUCAAAAGUUUUCACGUACAAAGUGUUUUUUCUAAACCUAGGUCUAUUCUUUUAUAUCUCCUCUUAAAAUACUUAUCUUAUCUCACUUUCUCCCCCAAAACUAUCUAAAAUAUCAAAACAGCCCUCAACUAAAUAUUUUAUAUUAUUUUCAAAUCUUUAUUCUAUUUAUCAAUAAAAUAAUUCUCAUAUCAUAAUCAAAUCCUCCAAAACUCAUAACUUAUCACGUCAUCAAUCAAAUCACUAAAUUCACCACAAAUCAUCAAAACAUAUCAAAAUCAUGCAUAUACUAUAUAAUUAUAAUAUAAUGGCCUAAACUCGAUUAAAUAACGAUUAAACGAAAGUGGGCGUUACAACUCUCCCCCACUUAAAAGAUUUUCGUCCUCGAAAAUUUACCUCAAGCAAACAACUCUGGAUAAGACUCCAGCAUCUUACUCUCAAGCUCCCACGUCAAGCUUUCACCAGUCGCUCCCGUCCAAACGACUCUCACGAGAGGUAUCUCCUUGCCUAUCAACGUCUUCACUUUACGAUCAUCAAUCCUCACCGGUAAAG
Molecule: long non-coding RNA, 2051 nt
Filed under: Medicago truncatula (barrel medic)
Lineage: Eukaryota; Viridiplantae; Streptophyta; Magnoliopsida; Fabales; Fabaceae
Description: long non-coding RNA (MTRU_LNC004806)
Source: RNAcentral